GUGAAUCAUCGAAUCUUUGAACGCACCUUGCGCUCCUUGGUAUUCCGAGGAGCAUGCCUGUUUGCGCGUCAUCGAAAUCUCAAAUCGAAGCUUCGAUCCCUUCGGGGCUCGGUUUGGACGUGGGAGCCUGCCGGCGCGAGUCGGCUCUCCUCAAAAGCAUUAGCCGUGGGCGCGAGUCUUGCAUGGCACGGCCUCCUCGACGUCAUAAUGAUCGUCGUGGGCUGGAAGUGCGCGAAUCGAACGACCCAUGCUUCACAACCCUGCGAGCCCGUCGCGGCCGCACGCAUGAACGCUUGACCUCAAAUCAGGUAGGACUACCCGCUGAACUUAAGCAUAUCAAUAAGCGGAGGA
RNAcentral lists this unclassified non-coding RNA (351 nucleotides) under Scleroderma sp. Its description in RNAcentral is "partial contains 5.8S ribosomal RNA, internal transcribed spacer 2, and large subunit ribosomal RNA". The stretch from base 1 to 71 matches the Rfam family "5.8S ribosomal RNA", at positions 84 to 154 of the family's 154-position model. Lineage: Eukaryota; Fungi; Basidiomycota; Agaricomycetes; Boletales; Sclerodermataceae. The record is from RNAcentral.